GUCAGGAUGACGCUAGCUACAGGCUUAACACAUGCAAGUCGAGGGGCAGCAUCAUCAAAGCUUGCUUUGAUGGAUGGCGACCGGCGCACGGGUGAGUAACACGUAUCCAACCUGCCGACAACACUGGGAUAGCCUUUCGAAAGAAAGAUUAAUACCGGAUGGCAUAGUCUUCCCGCAUGGGAUGAUUAUUAAAGAAUUUCGGUUGUCGAUGGGGAUGCGUUCCAUUAGGCAGUUGGCGGGGUAACGGCCCACCAAACCUACGAUGGAUAGGGGUUCUGAGAGGAAGGUCCCCCACAUUGGAACUGAGACACGGUCCAAACUCCUACGGGAGGCAGCAGUGAGGAAUAUUGGUCAAUGGACGAGAGUCUGAACCAGCCAAGUAGCGUGAAGGAUGACUGCCCUAUGGGUUGUAAACUUCUUUUAUACGGGAAUAAAGUUAGCCACGUGUGGCUUUUUGUAUGUACCGUAUGAAUAAGGAUCGGCUAACUCCGUGCCAGCAGCCGCGGUAAUACGGAGGAUCCGAGCGUUAUCCGGAUUUAUUGGGUUUAAAGGGAGCGUAGGCGGGUUGUUAAGUCAGUUGUGAAAGUUUGCGGCUCAACCGUAAAAUUGCAGUUGAUACUGGCGACCUUGAGUGCAACAGAGGUAGGCGGAAUUCGUGGUGUAGCGGUGAAAUGCUUAGAUAUCACGAAGAACUCCGAUUGCGAAGGCAGCUUACUGGAUUGUAACUGACGCUGAUGCUCGAAGUGUGGGUAUCAACAGGAUAGA
RNAcentral lists this ribosomal RNA (765 nucleotides) under Bacteroides stercoris. RNAcentral describes it as "bacterial SSU rRNA". It matches the Rfam family "Bacterial small subunit ribosomal RNA", at positions 23 to 782 of the family's 1533-position model. Lineage: Bacteria; Pseudomonadati; Bacteroidota; Bacteroidia; Bacteroidales; Bacteroidaceae. The record is from RNAcentral.